UACGGAGGGGGCGAGCGUUGUUCGGAAUCACUGGGUGUAAAGGGUGCGUAGGCGGUGCGUUAAGUCUGAUGUGAAAGCCCUGGGCUCAACUCAGGAAUUGCAUUGGAAACUGGCGUGCUGGAGUACGGAAGAGGUAGCUGGAAUUCCCGGUGUAGCGGUGAAAUGUGUAGAGAUCGGGAGGAACACCGGUGGCGAAGGCGGGUCUCUGGGCAUCUCCUGACGCUGAGGCGCGAAAGCGUGGGGAGCAAACGGG
Molecule: ribosomal RNA, 253 nt
Filed under: uncultured bacterium
Lineage: Bacteria
Description: partial 16S ribosomal RNA
Rfam family: Bacterial small subunit ribosomal RNA
Source: RNAcentral